This 281-nucleotide unclassified non-coding RNA is filed under the name uncultured fungus. RNAcentral's name for it is "sequence contains ITS1, 5.8S rRNA gene". The stretch from base 233 to 281 matches the Rfam family "5.8S ribosomal RNA", at positions 1 to 49 of the family's 154-position model. Lineage: Eukaryota; Fungi. The record is from RNAcentral.
UUUCCGUAGGUGAACCUGCGGAAGGAUCAUUACCGAGUUAGGGUUGCCUUCUAGGUGCCCGACCUCCCAACCCUUUGUCUAUGAUACCACAGUUGCUUCGGCGGACCGAGGGGUCAUACCCUCGCCUGGUCGACCUGGCCGGGAGAGUCUGUCCGUCGACGGCCUCAACUUAACACUUGAACCCAAAACCUGUCGUCUGAAAACAUUUUUAUGAUUUAUAAUCAAAAACAAAAACUUUCAACAACGGAUCUCUUGGUUCUGGCAUCGAUGAAGAACGCAGC